This 864-nucleotide long non-coding RNA is filed under the name Oreochromis niloticus (Nile tilapia). Its description in RNAcentral is "lncRNA (ENSONIG00000036658.1)". The record is from RNAcentral. Lineage: Eukaryota; Metazoa; Chordata; Actinopteri; Cichliformes; Cichlidae.
CCUCCUGGGUUUCCUGGGGCUCACCCUUUCCUGUAGCUGGACGCGUUUUUCUUUCACUUCUCUUUACCGAGAAAUUCCAAGUUUCACAAGUUUCAGAUUUGCUCUUGUUCUUUUGAAGGCUUUGUCCAACAACAACAACAACAACAACAACAACAACAACAAUGAUAAGACUCGGGUGCUGCGGGAUGUCACCUGUCUUCAGCCUCACCUGUUCACAGCUCCACCCUGGUGGUGCUGGUGGGCCACAACGUCUUUCUGCCCUGCAACGUGACGCCCAGCGAUGAGAUCACCUGGUACCUGCUGCGCUCAGAGCAGCUGCUGCCUCUGUUAACUGUUAAAAAGGGGAAGUUUGUUGACACCACUGACAAUCACACAAACAACCAUCGGAUGAACUGUAACGGGACGCUGCAGACCGGCCUGGUCAGCCUGGAGAUCCAGGAGGUGGAGGAGGAGGAUGCUGGGCUGUACUUCUGCAUCGGGAGGUUUGCAGCUAAGAUGCACGUUAACAGAGGAAUUCAGCUGACUGUGGACGGAGGUGCCGGGCGGUCGUCCACAGACCGGAUGAGGCAGCCGUGUUUGAGUCUGGGGCUCUGCCUUCUCCCGGCGCUGUUCGCCCUCUGCUUCGUCUGCGUGGCUGGAUGCUACCUGUGGUCAGGUAAACCUGUUUGCUCCUGCUGUAACCCACGGAGACGGGACGCCGAUCACCGGGUCACAGAGGAAGAGUCUUUGCAUUAUUCCAGCCUGAAGCAUCCAGACAAGCCCCGCCCCACCACCAGGAGAGGAACCGGAUUGGCUGAAGAGAAGGUCCUGUACUCAACAGUGAACACGUGCAAGAACUCAAAGGCAUCACAUCACCACAGAUAG